GCCAAAUCAUAUUGAAACACUGGUUAUCAUAUGAUCACCAAAGUUAAGCAACAUCGUGCCUGACCAGUACCUAGAUGGGUAACUCCUUUGGAAUACCAGGUACUGUAAG
Molecule: non-coding RNA, 109 nt
Organism: Acanthosepion pharaonis
Lineage: Eukaryota; Metazoa; Mollusca; Cephalopoda; Sepiida; Sepiidae
Source: the annotation of a GenBank genome assembly